CGUGUAGGCUGCUCGGAAAGUCGGGUGUGAAAGCCCUGGGCUCAACCUAGGAAGUGCACUCGAAACUUCCGAGCUGGAGUUUCGGAGAGGAAGGCGGAAUUCUCGGUGUAGAGGUGAAAUUCGUAGAUAUCGAGAGGAACAUCGGUGGCGAAGGCGGCCUUCUGGACGAUGACUGACGCUGAGACGCGAAAGCGUGGGGAGCAAACA
Molecule: ribosomal RNA, 207 nt
Filed under: uncultured delta proteobacterium
Lineage: Bacteria; Deltaproteobacteria
Description: partial 16S ribosomal RNA
Rfam family: Bacterial small subunit ribosomal RNA
Source: RNAcentral